GCAUAUUUCUCUUCCUUCAGCUCCCUCCGGAUCUUGUUCCCCUUGCCGACCUGGUACAUGCCCCAUGAGAAAGCGCCGAAGGUGGCGAGGAAUAAUGCAAUGGCGCUGGGGCCCUUGGUCGGGAUCCGGCGAGCGUAGCGCACCGGCGCGAAUCCCCCCGGCGGCGGCCCGUCCUGCAUGACCGGCAUAUCCUUCACGCUCACCAUCCCCGGCUUCUUCCUCAGCAUCGCCUCCGUCAUCGUUACGGCCCGGCGUGAUCGGAUCGAUCCACG
Molecule: unclassified non-coding RNA, 272 nt
Filed under: Hevea brasiliensis (rubber tree)
Lineage: Eukaryota; Viridiplantae; Streptophyta; Magnoliopsida; Malpighiales; Euphorbiaceae
Source: RNAcentral